AUCCGGGUUGCGGACAGUGUCUGGUGGGUAGUUUGACUGGGGCGGUCUCCUCCUAAAGAGUAACGGAGGAGCACGAAGGUUAGCUAAUCCUGGUCGGACAUCAGGAGGUUAGUGCAAAGGCAUAAGCUAGCUUGACUGCGAGCGUGACGGCGCGAGCAGGUGCGAAAGCAGGUCUUAGUGAUCCGGUGGUUCUGAAUGGAAGGGCCAUCGCUCAACGGAUAAAAGGUACUCCGGGGAUAACAGGCUGAUACCGCCCAAGAGUUCAUAUCGACGGCGGUGUUUGGCACCUCGAUGUCGGCUCAUCACAUCCUGGGGCUGAAGUAGGUCCCAAGGGUAUGGCUGUUCGCCAUUUAAAGUGGUACGCGAGCUGGGUUUAGAACGUCGUGAGACAGUUCGGUCCCUAUCUGCCGUGGGCGCUGGAGAACUGAGGGGGGCUGCUCCUAGUACGAGAGGACCGGAGUGGACGCAUCACUGGUGUUCGGGUUGUCAUGCCAAUGGCACUGCCCGGUAGCUAAAUGCGGAAAAGAUAAGUGCUGAAAGCAUCUAAGCACGAAACUUGCCCCGAGAUGAGUUCUCCCUGACCCUUUAAGGGUCCUGAAGGAACGUUGAAGACGACGACGUUGAUAGGUCGGGUGUGUAAGCGUAGCGAUACGUUGAGCUAACCGGUACUAAUGAACCGUGAGGCUUAACCUUACAACGCCGAAGGUGUUU
RNAcentral lists this ribosomal RNA (711 nucleotides) under Salmonella enterica. Its description in RNAcentral is "partial 23S ribosomal RNA". It matches the Rfam family "Bacterial large subunit ribosomal RNA", at positions 2238 to 2925 of the family's 2925-position model. The record is from RNAcentral. Lineage: Bacteria; Pseudomonadati; Pseudomonadota; Gammaproteobacteria; Enterobacterales; Enterobacteriaceae.